UGAGAACACAGCAAGAUGGCAACAUCCUGAAAUGACCAGGAGUCAUUUCCUGGUGCCUUGAUCUUGGGCUCCCCUGUCUCUCCAGAACAGCUGUGGGACAAGAGUACUCAUGGCGGUCUGCUCUGCACCUGGACCCAGAUCUAUACUGUCAGGGAUUCUGGCACUCACUGGAGCCAGCAAGAGAAAAAUCAAGGUGUGGAUCUAUAAAAGGAAUCAACAGCAGUGAUGAUGACAACAACAACAACAAAACUAAACUGUGUUGACUUUGAUGGGAUCUCUGAGAAACACAGAUGUGCAAUUGUUCUAAUCAUCCAUUUUAAUUUCUGAUAAAACCAACAAAAACAGAUGAACUCUACCAGGUCAAAUUCAUAUAUAAGAUAUGAGUAUGCAAACAGAAGAAUAAGAAGGCAUGUUGCUAUUUUUCUCUGGAAUUAGACUUUUAAGUGCUUAAUUUAUAUGUAAAAGUUAUCUCUGCACAUGCAAUACCUAUGUGCAUGUACACACAUGCAGGCAUGCAUGUGUGUGUAUGUAUGUGUGUGUGUAUGAGUAUGAAUGUGAGCCUCCGAGUGCCCAGAUCCAGAGUGUAGUAGUCUGAGGACAACGUUUGGGAGUAGGUUCUUUCCUUCCACCAUAUGGGUUAAAGGGAUUGAACUCAGGUCAUCAGUCACCUCUCAAGACUGAAAUGCUUAAUUUACUAUGCAUUGGCGUCAUGUGGCAAUUUCGUCCUAGAUAAAAUCUCCCAUCUUGGAGGAAAGGUAGUUAAGACACAGAAUAUCCUAAGGGAAGUGAAGCAUUCUAUCUGCAGGGAAUCUCUUAAACUUAGGAAGAGGACAACUCAAAAGCCCCAGGAAGUCCCUGAAACUGAGCAGAUUGUCUAGGUCCCUCCUUCUCUAAGAUAUAUAAGCAGUGAGGACUGCUGAGAGAUAUUUUCAGGUAGCUUACUAGAAUAAGCAGAGACCAGGCAAGAAGCAGAGACCAGCCAAACUACCUGAAAAAGUCAGACACUGACUGAGCUACCUGGAAGUUAUACAGAAGCUUACAAUUCUCAGAUUUUGUGAGCUGUCACCCAUGUUGGGGUGGGCUUUUGGUGAUUCUGCUCCUGUAAGUAAUUCUUAACCCAUACUUCUGUAACUAAGCCCCAUAAAACCUAUUGGUUUAAGUUGGAAUUGGUGGCAUCUGUACUUUGGCCUAUUGGCAAUUCCCUAUUUGGGGUGAGUUUGUUUACAUCUCCCCAGAAAUAAUGCCACACAACCCUUGAGAAGGGUAUUGAUAAUAACAGAAUUGAAAAAUCUCUGUAAAUGAAUGCCACUAAGGUAGACCGUUGCCACAAGCCAUUCCUUCAAAGAGUUACUUUUCCUGAUGUCUCAAAUGAACAAUUCAUUGCUGAACUGGAGAAGGAUGUCAGAUAGGAGUUUAAUUAAUGCUUCUACCAUAAGAAAUUACGUUCUGCUCUUGUGAUCUUUUCCUAUGGACUGCUUGUUCAGGAAUUCCAAGCAUAUGGAGGAUUUUAGAGUUGGGUAUAAGAGUUAAAGAAACAAAUUAAUGAGCUGACAUGAUCUUGAUCUGGGAUCACAUCACUGAGUUCAGCUGAGUUGAAGUAAACAUUGUAACCAAGGAGAAAGACCAGGAGGAGACAUGCAGGAAGGCUCACCCUCAAGGAGGGAGCUGGGGAGUUGGGAUGGAUAUGCAGUAACAUUCCAGGGAUGGCUGUUUAUUUCCCAGACUUCUCCACAACAGAUUGGGAAUUUAAAAGUACAAAAAAAAAAAAGAUAAGAA
Long non-coding RNA from Meriones unguiculatus (Mongolian gerbil), 1776 nucleotides. RefSeq lists it as uncharacterized. The record is from RefSeq and is a predicted model, not a curated record. Lineage: Eukaryota; Metazoa; Chordata; Mammalia; Rodentia; Muridae. The transcript has 2 exons.